GUUUUUGUUUUUGAAGUCUGUUAUAUUCUUUCCUUUUAGCGGUUGCUAGAAUAUUCCAGAACAUUAUAGCUAUCCGUUGGUAUUGUUAAUUAGGUAAGGCUCAUUAGAGGUUGAAUUAGGGAAGGUUGGAUUAGAAUUGCGUUUCUUCAAGAAGUUAAUAGGUCUGUGUAAUUUGGUUUAUUGAAUUAGAAUUGUACUUGGGCUGAGCUGUAUUUUCUUGGCAACCAUGGCGGACUCGAUUGCAGCAACAUCUCUUGUGGGGUAUAGACCCAAUUGCAGGGGAUUUUCUGUCACGAAUUCUUCCUACAGAAGGAAAUCUUCAACUUCGAGUAACUGUCGCUUCUUAAAAUCAGAAUUUAUGGGCAGAAGGAUUGUUUGUUUGUCUCCAAAAUUGAAAGCUGACAGGUUUGUGAAUACAUCAAUUAAGGCCCUUGCAAUGGAAUUAACAAAAGAGGCAUAUUCAUAUAGAGAAGAGGAGAGAAUACCACGCACUUGGAGUUACCGUCCUGGCACUGGUAUUGAUCGAAAACCAGGUCUGUGGCCACCAGAAAAUAGAGCAGAUAACCCUUCGUUGCAUAAUCCUUUGCUUCGACAAGAAAGGAUGGGUUGUGGCUGGGGGGGGGGCCAAUUUGGAUGGGGGGGUGUCAUAAUUGAGGAUAAUCCUGAUCUUGAUAAGCAAGCAUGGCUUGCUCUUUCUCAAGAAGAAGGAAAAUCCCCUCCACCAGCUUUCAUUUUAAGACGACUAGAAGGGAUGAAGAAUGAACAAGCAAUAUCUGAAGUUCUGUGUUGGUCAAGAGACCCAGCAGAACUGAGAAGAAUGGCCACUAGGAAGGAAGAAAUUUACCAAGCUUUGCAAGGUGGGAUAUAUAGAUUACGGUCUGGCUCGAAAGAGUUUGUGAAUAUUUUGAUGCAUUACAAGAUCCCAAUGGCAUUGAUAUCCACGCGUCCAAGGAAGACUCUUGAGACUGCAAUUGGAAGCAUUGGUAUCAAUGGGUAUUUCACUACGAUUGUAGCAGCAGAAGAUGUUCACAGGGGGAGGCCUGACCCUGAGAUGUUUGUUUAUGCAGCACAGCUUCUAAAGUUUAUUCCAGAGCGUUGUAUUGUGUUUGGGAACUCCAAUCAGACUGUGGAGGCUGCACAUGAUGUUCGGAUGAAGUGUGUUGCUGUUGCUAGCAAGCAUCGGAUUUAUGAGCUCAGUGCUGCAGACUUGGUGGUGAGGCAUCUAGACGAGCUUCAAUUGUUGAUCUCAAGAAUCUUGUUGAUAUUGAAUCACCAGAAUUUGGUUCCCCUGAACCAGAGAUGGAGUUGGAGGAGGAAGAGGAUCGAUCAACUGCAGUGGGAGUUGAUGAUAUUUUCUGGUGACUCCUAUGAAAUUGUACAGUUUGCUUAGCACUUUAUUAAUUUCUUGUUGGACGUUAGUCCUAUAUGUCUCUUGUAACAUCAUUGAAAACCAUUAGCCCUUGUGUUUUAGGGGCAAACAAGGUUAGGAAAAAACUGAAAGGGAGGGGGGGCA
RNAcentral lists this unclassified non-coding RNA (1513 nucleotides) under Hevea brasiliensis (rubber tree). The record is from RNAcentral. Lineage: Eukaryota; Viridiplantae; Streptophyta; Magnoliopsida; Malpighiales; Euphorbiaceae.